UGGUCUUAGCUUGCUAAGGCCGAUGGCGACCGGCGCACGGGUGAGUAACACGUAUCCAACCUGCCGUCUACUCUUGGACAGCCUUCUGAAAGGAAGAUUAAUACAAGAUGGCAUCAUGAGUCCGCAUGUUCACAUGAUUAAAGGUAUUCCGGUAGACGAUGGGGAUGCGUUCCAUUAGAUAGUAGGCGGGGUGACGGCCCACCUAGUCUUCGAUGGAUAGGGGUUCUGAGAGGAAGGUCCCCCACAUUGGAACUGAGACACGGUCCAAACUCCUACGGGAGGCAGCAGUGAGGAAUAUUGGUCAAUGGGCGAGAGCCUGAACCAGCCAAGUAGCGUGAAGGAUGGCUGCCCUAUGGGUUGUAAACUUCUUUUAUAAAGGAAUAAAGUCGGGUAUGCAUACCCGUUUGCAUGUACUUUAUGAAUAAGGAUCGGCUAACUCCGUGCCAGCAGCCGCGGUAAUACGGAGGAUCCGAGCGUUAUCCGGAUUUAUUGGGUUUAAAGGGAGCGUAGAUGGAUGUUUAAGUCAGUUGUGAAAGUUUGCGGCUCAACCGUAAAAUUGCAGUUGAUACUGGAUAUCUUGAGUGCAAUUGGAAGCCAGGCGGAAUUCGUGGUGUAGCGGUGAAAUGCUUAGAUAUCACGAA
Molecule: ribosomal RNA, 641 nt
Filed under: uncultured Bacteroidales bacterium
Lineage: Bacteria; Pseudomonadati; Bacteroidota; Bacteroidia; Bacteroidales
Description: bacterial SSU rRNA
Rfam family: Bacterial small subunit ribosomal RNA
Source: RNAcentral